Molecule: transfer RNA, 59 nt
Filed under: Ictidomys tridecemlineatus (thirteen-lined ground squirrel)
Lineage: Eukaryota; Metazoa; Chordata; Mammalia; Rodentia; Sciuridae
Description: Spermophilus tridecemlineatus (thirteen-lined ground squirrel) tRNA
Rfam family: tRNA
About the family: Transfer RNA (tRNA) molecules are approximately 80 nucleotides in length. Their secondary structure includes four short double-helical elements and three loops (D, anti-codon, and T loops).
Source: Rfam by way of RNAcentral
GUGGCUCAGAGGUAGAGCACUUGCCUAGCAUGCAGGAGGCACUGGGUUCAAUACUCAGC